Long non-coding RNA from Cloeon dipterum, 552 nucleotides. RefSeq lists it as uncharacterized. The record is from RefSeq and is a predicted model, not a curated record. The transcript has 3 exons. Lineage: Eukaryota; Metazoa; Arthropoda; Insecta; Ephemeroptera; Baetidae.
AAAUACUUUUGCGUCGUCUCGCUGUUAUCACCGUCAACUCGGCUAUAAAGAGAGCAAAUGCACUGCAAACUUUUAUUGAGUCACUCGAACUUAAAUUCUGUUAAUCAUGCGUUUCUUGUUAAUUCUCUGCGUUUUCCUUCACGUAUGCCAACAGGGACUGGCCGUGAAAUGCUUCCAAUGUGGAAUCAGUUCGGCGUGUGCCGAUCCGUUCAACGCAAACCAAACAGAAACGUGCGAACUCGAAGGAGGGGCUUGCAUGAAGACAAAUAAUAUCGGACUUAAUAUACUCCAAGGAUUUCAGACAACGAGGAAGUGCGUUCCCUCUGACGCAACAUGCGCCACGAUUAAUACGGAAGCAUGGCAGCUAAAUUUGCAAUGCGACAUUUGCCAGACAGAGCUGUGCAACGCUGGACCACGAUUCACUGCUGUCUCGGCCGUGGUUUUCCUUGCAGCUGUUGCUCUCAUGAUCAAACACUUUUACUAAAAAUGAUGUAAUGGAUUGUUUAAAAUAAAAUAAAAAAAUCGCAUUAAUGUCCUUAAUUUUAUUUUUAA